RNAcentral lists this ribosomal RNA (482 nucleotides) under uncultured bacterium. RNAcentral describes it as "partial 16S ribosomal RNA". It matches the Rfam family "Bacterial small subunit ribosomal RNA", at positions 30 to 507 of the family's 1533-position model. The record is from RNAcentral.
AUUGAACGCUGGCGGCAUGCCUUACACAUGCAAGUCGAACGGUAACAGGUCUUCGGAUGCUGACGAGUGGCGAACGGGUGAGUAAUACAUCGGAACGUGCCCAGACGUGGGGGAUAACGAGGCGAAAGCUUUGCUAAUACCGCAUACGAUCUAAGGAUGAAAGCAGGGGACCGCAAGGCCUUGCGCGUUUGGAGCGGCCGAUGGCAGAUUAGGUAGUUGGUGGGAUAAAAGCUUACCAAGCCGACGAUCUGUAGCUGGUCUGAGAGGACGACCAGCCACACUGGGACUGAGACACGGCCCAGAAUCCUACGGGAGGCAGCAGUGGGGAAUUUUGGACAAUGGGCGAAAGCCUGAUCCAGCAAUGCCGCGUGCAGGAUGAAGGCCUUCGGGUUGUAAACUGCUUUUGUACGGAACGAAAAGGCUCUGGCUAAUACCUGGGGCACAUGACGGUACCGUAAGAAUAAGCACCGGCUAACUACGUG